Nannospalax galili (Upper Galilee mountains blind mole rat) is the source of this 132-nucleotide small nucleolar RNA. NCBI's taxonomy places the organism in Eukaryota, Metazoa, Chordata, Mammalia, Rodentia, Spalacidae. The record is from Ensembl.
GGCUUCCUGGUACUUACUUUACCACAGAGUGUUUUUCCACUGACUGUAUAGAAAAAGGAGGCAGAGAACCCACCUCAUUUAUACCUCAUCUGAGGCUUUGUGCCUGGUCUGUAUUUGAAUAGGAGAACAUGA